AGAGUUUGAUUAUGGCUCAGGAUGAACGCUGGCGGCGUGCUUAACACAUGCAAGUCGAACGGAGUUAUUACGAAAGCUUGCUUUGUUUAACUUAGUGGCGGACGGGUGAGUAACGCGUGAGGAACCUGCCCUUUAGUGGGGAAUAACACCGAGAAAUCGGUGCUAAUACCGCAUAAUGUCGGGAAACCGCAUGAUUUUCCGACCAAAGGAUUUAUUCGCUUAAGGAUGGCCUCGCGUCCGAUUAGGCAGUUGGUGGGGUAACGGCCCACCAAACCAACGAUCGGUAGCCGAACUGAGAGGUUGAUCGGCCACAUUGGGACUGAGACACGGCCCAGACUCCUACGGGAGGCAGCAGUGGGGAAUAUUGGGCAAUGGGGCCGAAAGCCUGACCCAGCAACGCCGCGUGAAGGAUGACGGUCUUAGGAUUGUAAACUUCUUUAAUCGGGGAAGAAUAAAUGACCUACCCGAAGAAUAAGCCACGGCUAACUACGUGCCAGCCGCCGC
This 504-nucleotide ribosomal RNA is filed under the name uncultured bacterium. RNAcentral describes it as "bacterial SSU rRNA". It matches the Rfam family "Bacterial small subunit ribosomal RNA", at positions 8 to 518 of the family's 1533-position model. The record is from RNAcentral.